Molecule: long non-coding RNA, 510 nt
Filed under: Homo sapiens (human)
Lineage: Eukaryota; Metazoa; Chordata; Mammalia; Primates; Hominidae
Description: non-protein coding lnc-CH25H-2:3
Source: RNAcentral
GUCUGAUCUCUUUUCUAACCAUACCUGGAAGAUGGAAUGCUGGACCCAGGAGGAAAGGCCAUGUGAAGAUAAAGAAAAGGCUGCCAUCUCCAGGUCAGGAAGAGAGGUCUCACCAGAAACCAACUUGGACUUCUAGCAUCUAGAACUUGAGAAACUGGGAUGCUACUCCAGAAGAAGACAAAUCAGUGCCUCUGUACAAAGGGAUCUUUGUGCUGCCAAAAGAGUAGAAAAGUUUAUCCCAGAACCAAAAUAUUUCAGAAUUGUGGAAAAUCAAGUUUUGGAAACCUACUCAAAAGAAGAAGAAAUAUUGCUAUCACAGAAUCCCUGAAUUAGUAUACACCUAGCCGCUGUAACAAAGAUGCUCAAAAACAUAAAUGACACUGUAAAAGAAGUUUAUUUCUUGUUCACAUAACUGUCCAAGGCUGGUGUUCCUGGGCAACUUCCAGUUCUCUUCCAUGCAAUGAUUCAAGGACACAGAGUUCUUCCAUCCUGUGACUCUACCAUCCCCUA